CCCAGAAAUAGUCGUAUAUUCAUCGGACUGAAUGGUCAUCACGCUUCACCUCAUGUCGCUCUUGUUACAGAGAAGCAAGUUCAAAUAAAGAGGAGAAAAUUCCCAACACCUAUGUAUUGUGAAGUUGUCUAUGAAUCAAUUUCAAAUUGGUGAUUUGUAAAUUUUUUUUCUCUUUUUCUUUUCCCCUUUUAUUGGUUUGCCUAUAUAUGUAAGAAUGUGUAAACUUCAACUUUAUUGUUUGGAUUUAUUUCCUACAACAUAAAUGGUUUGCGAAUGAUGGGAACUUACAUGCAUGCAUGCAUGAUGUUUCUUC
RNA transcript from Vitis vinifera (wine grape), 313 nucleotides. RefSeq lists it as uncharacterized. NCBI's taxonomy places the organism in Eukaryota, Viridiplantae, Streptophyta, Magnoliopsida, Vitales, Vitaceae. The record is from RefSeq and is a predicted model, not a curated record. The transcript is spliced from 2 exons.